UACAGAGGAGCCAAGCGUUGUCCGGAUUGACUGGGCGUAAAGCGCACGCAGGCGGAUGCGCGCGUGGGGUGUGAAAUCUGGCCGCUUAACGGCCAGUCGCCAUCCCAUACGGCGCGUCUGGAGUGAUGCAGAGGUCGAUGGAAUUGCCGGUGUAGUGGUGAAAUGCGUAGAGAUCGGCAGGAACACCCAGGGGGAAACCAGUCGACUGGGCAUCUACUGACGCUGAGGUGCGAGAGCGUGGGGAGCGAACCGG
This 253-nucleotide ribosomal RNA is filed under the name uncultured bacterium. Its description in RNAcentral is "partial 16S ribosomal RNA". It matches the Rfam family "Bacterial small subunit ribosomal RNA", at positions 524 to 776 of the family's 1533-position model. The record is from RNAcentral.